AACGCACAUUGCGCCCCUCGGUACUCCGGGGGGCAUGCCUGUCCGAGCGUCAUUGAAGACUAUCAAGCCCGGCUUGGUCUUGGGUGAGGUCUGGGGACCCGCCCGCAACCCGUCGGCGGUGCCGGUUCGGCCCUGAGCGUAGCAAGACACUCGCUCGGGGGCCGCGGCGGCGCCCGCCAGCAGAUUCUACCAUAUUUUGACCUCGGAUCAGGUAGGGAUACCCGCUGAACUUAA
Molecule: unclassified non-coding RNA, 234 nt
Filed under: uncultured Ascomycota
Lineage: Eukaryota; Fungi; Ascomycota
Description: sequence contains ITS2
Rfam family: 5.8S ribosomal RNA (bases 1-52)
Source: RNAcentral